UAAUACAUGCAAGUCGAGCGGACAGAUGGGAGCUUGCUCCCUGAUGUUAGCGGCGGACGGGUGAGUAACACGUGGGUAACCUGCCUGUAAGACUGGGAUAACUCCGGGAAACCGGGGCUAAUACCGGAUGGUUGUUUGAACCGCAUGGUUCAGACAUAAAAGGUGGCUUCGGCUACCACUUACAGAUGGACCCGCGGCGCAUUAGCUAGUUGGUGAGGUAACGGCUCACCAAGGCGACGAUGCGUAGCCGACCUGAGAGGGUGAUCGGCCACACUGGGACUGAGACACGGCCCAGACUCCUACGGGAGGCAGCAGUAGGGAAUCUUCCGCAAUGGACGAAAGUCUGACGGAGCAACGCCGCGUGAGUGAUGAAGGUUUUCGGAUCGUAAAGCUCUGUUGUUAGGGAAGAACAAGUGCCGUUCAAAUAGGGCGGCACCUUGACGGUACCUAACCAGAAAGCCACGGCUAACUACGUGCCAGCAGCCGCGGUAAUACGUAGGUGGCAAGCGUUGUCCGGAAUUAUUGGGCGUAAAGGGCUCGCAGGCGGUUUCUUAAGUCUGAUGUGAAAGCCCCCGGCUCAACCGGGGAGGGUCAUUGGAAACUGGGGAACUUGAGUGCAGAAGAGGAGAGUGGAAUUCCACGUGUAGCGGUGAAAUGCGUAGAGAUGUGGAGGAACACCAGUGGCGAAGGCGACUCUCUGGUCUGUAACUGACGCUGAGGAGCGAAAGCGUGGGGAGCGAACAGGAUUAGAUACCCUGGUAGUCCACGCCGUAAACGAUGAGUGCUAAGUGUUAGGGGGUUUCCGCCCCUUAGUGCUGCAGCUAACGCAUUAAGCACUCCGCCUGGGGAGUACGGUCGCAAGACUGAAACUCAAAGGAAUUGACGGGGGCCCGCACAAGCGGUGGAGCAUGUGGUUUAAUUCGAAGCAACGCGAAGAACCUUACCAGGUCUUGACAUCCUCUGACAAUCCUAGAGAUAGGACGUCCCCUUCGGGGGCAGAGUGACAGGUGGUGCAUGGUUGUCGUCAGCUCGUGUCGUGAGAUGUUGGGUUAAGUCCCGCAACGAGCGCAACCCUUGAUCUUAGUUGCCAGCAUUCAGUUGGGCACUCUAAGGUGACUGCCGGUGACAAACCGGAGGAAGGUGGGGAUGACGUCAAAUCAUCAUGCCCCUUAUGACCUGGGCUACACACGUGCUACAAUGGACAGAACAAAGGGCAGCGANACCGCGAGGUUAAGCCAAUCCCACAAAUCUGUUCUCAGUUCGGAUCGCAGUCUGCAACUCGACUGCGUGAAGCUGGNAUCGCUAGUA
Molecule: ribosomal RNA, 1308 nt
Filed under: Bacillus sp. C-1-22
Lineage: Bacteria; Bacillati; Bacillota; Bacilli; Caryophanales; Bacillaceae
Description: bacterial SSU rRNA
Rfam family: Bacterial small subunit ribosomal RNA
Source: RNAcentral